RNAcentral lists this unclassified non-coding RNA (221 nucleotides) under Hevea brasiliensis (rubber tree). Lineage: Eukaryota; Viridiplantae; Streptophyta; Magnoliopsida; Malpighiales; Euphorbiaceae. The record is from RNAcentral.
CAGCGCUUUGCUGCCUUCUCCGAAGCGCUCGGCGACCGCUUCGUUGCGCGGGUGCUUCCUGACAGCGCGGCCAAUACGGAAUUGCCACCGUUCUUUGCAACCCNNUGUCACGUCUCCUCACAGCGUGGUGACCGCUCAUCUCAUCGACGAGGCAGGGCAGCCGACCAUUGCCGCGCGUGAUGAAAUCCUGUCGUUCUUUGCUCACCGGCUCAAUUCAUGAA